GGUUAAGUCCGCAACGAGCGCAACCCUAUUGCCAGUUGCCAUCACAUAAUGGUGGGCACUCUAGUGAGACUGCCCGGGUCAACCGGGAGGAAGGUGGGGACGACGUCAAGUCAUCAUGGCCCUUACGUCCAGGGCUACACACGUACUACAAUGGUGGAUACAGAGGGUCGCGAAGCCGCGAGGUCGAGCCAAUCCCAGAAAAUCCAUCCCAGUCCGGAUCGCAGUCUGCAACUCGACUGUGUGAAGUUGGAAUCGCUAGUAAUCCCAGAUCAGCAUGCUGGGGUGAAUACGUUCCCGGGCCUUGUACACACCGCCCGUCACACCACGAAAGCUGGUUCUACCCAAAAUCGACGGACUAACCUUCGGGAGGUAGUCGCCUACGGUAGGGCUGGUAAUUGGGGUGAAGUCGUAACAAGGUACC
RNAcentral lists this ribosomal RNA (421 nucleotides) under uncultured delta proteobacterium. Its description in RNAcentral is "bacterial SSU rRNA". It matches the Rfam family "Bacterial small subunit ribosomal RNA", at positions 1078 to 1500 of the family's 1533-position model. The record is from RNAcentral. Lineage: Bacteria; Deltaproteobacteria.